Non-coding RNA from Ostertagia ostertagi, 71 nucleotides. The record is from the annotation of a GenBank genome assembly. Lineage: Eukaryota; Metazoa; Nematoda; Chromadorea; Rhabditida; Trichostrongylidae.
GCGCCCAUGGCCAAGUGGUAAGGCAUAGCUCUGCAAAAGCUAGACCGGCAGUUCGAAUCUGCCUGGGCGCU